Molecule: ribosomal RNA, 254 nt
Filed under: uncultured bacterium
Lineage: Bacteria
Description: partial 16S ribosomal RNA
Rfam family: Bacterial small subunit ribosomal RNA
Source: RNAcentral
UACGUAGGGGGCAAGCGUUGUCCGGAUUUAUUGGGCGUAAAGAGCGUGUAGGCGGCCAGGUAGGUCUGCUGUGAAAACUCGAGGCUUAACCUCGAGCUGUCGGCGGAAACCAUCUGGCUAGAGUCCGGAAGAGGAGAAUGGAAUUCCCGGUGUAGCGGUGAAAUGUGCAGAUAUCGGGAAGAACACCCGUGGCGAAGGCGGUUCUCUGGGACGGUACUGACGCUGGAGACGCGAAAGCGUGGGGAGUGAACAGG